Cephus cinctus (wheat stem sawfly) is the source of this 2645-nucleotide long non-coding RNA. RefSeq lists it as uncharacterized. Lineage: Eukaryota; Metazoa; Arthropoda; Insecta; Hymenoptera; Cephidae. The transcript has 3 exons. The record is from RefSeq and is a predicted model, not a curated record.
UCUGAAGACGCCUGCCCAGUGCACAAACCCUAUAAACAGCCUUGUGAUUUCUAACACUUGAAAAUCACGAAACGUCUCAAUAUUAAACCUGUCAUCGGUAGUUUCUUUUAUUUAUGAAAUGCUUAAUCACAAAGAGUAUUAUGUACAAAUAGUCUUAUUAAUUAAUUGGUGGAUGGUACUUCUAGUAUACUUAUAUAUAUUGUGACUGAUAAAUAUUUAAGGUAAGUGUGGCAAACAAUCGCGACAAUUUGAUUAGAGAUCACAAUAAGCAGAAGGAUCAUGGACGGUGUCCGGUAAGAGUAUCGUGACGAUAUGCGUAUCCUGAAAAUCGAGGCACGUCAAAGUGACUGGGCGCCAGACAUUUGGUAGAUGUCGCAACACCGCUUGGAAAUCCUCCGCGAUACCCUGGCUACUCAGCCCACGGGAAGGUUAGAGGGGCUGGUCCUGCUAAUACACACACGCGAGAAGGUUUCGCACACGCAGAAUAAAUAGCUCGAAAUUUGGUAACAAUAACAAAAUAAUUAAGUAAUAGAUUAAACAAUGGGCGGUCACGCGAACGGGACCUUGGCGGCAGAAGGCCUGAAUAAUUAUAAAUUAUAUCUAAAAAUUCACGGCCAAAUAUUGGCGACUCGCUCGCGCGCGGGAGAACAGUAGGAGAAUUAGUAAAUGACGAUGAACAUCGUUCCGGACAAAUAAUCCGUAGACUAUAACAAGUAUAAAGUAACAAAAGUUUACUCGGACGACCAACGGGCCUUAACGGAACGCACAAACGCAACAAAAAUAGAAUGUAAACAGAGAUAAGUAAGGAAAGAUUACACAAGAAUCAAACAAUACAAUACGCAGUCUACAGGGAAGCGGUAGGCAGCGGAUUCGGCCGUAUGGGACACUCCAGGGUAUUCAGUCUAUCCGAUGAAAAUGAAAUAGGCAAGGUAGUCUAAUUAGGCCCGCGAUAAUUACACUUAAGCCCUUACUCAUACCUCUCUCUUAUAAUCGCUAUUAAGCGUCUUUUAGUUAAAGACGAUUAGACCGCUGUUAAGAGACGCCGUACUCAUACCUUCUUUUAAGACCACUAUUAGUUAAGAGCGCGCUAUUAGAAAAAUGGAACUGGCAACGUUGCAUAGACACGGCGGCCGUCCCACGCGCAUGCGCGUUGCGCGGGCAAGCCUAAAAUUUCAAACGACGCUCAUGUUGCCGCUAUACAAAAAAAUAGCUUCUGUGAAAGGUAGUAACUGAUUGAUCGUAUAUGGUUCCGAUUUGAAUUGUAGACCAAUGAGGUUCCUUCUUACAAUGAGUUUCCUCGUUUUAUACGUAAGCGUAAUUGAACGCUAUUACCUAGCUGAUCAAAGAGCUGUUCAAACGUAAGUACAGAUAUCUCAUUUAAAUAUGAUACAAUUAUUUAUGUAAUCGAUGAUAAAUAUUGAUGGAGGAUUAUCAUAUGCACAAAUGCUUUAUAUGUCAGCUGAAAGAUCAAAAAGGAGAGAAAACUUCAGCGAAGAAGAGAAACAGCGGAUUCUUGAAUUCGUUCAAGAAAACGUGAGCAUCUUGGAGGACAAGCAUAGUCAUCCACGAAGCCAAGACGAGAAGAAACGGAAGUAGAAAGAGUUGGCAGAGAAUAUGAAAGCUACUGGACCCAUCCGUGACUGGAAGGAUUUACAAAAAGAAAUAUUUUGGCCUACAAGAAACAGCUGAAAUCUACUGGUGGAGGACCAUCUACCACGAAGCCGUCGGAAACAGAUUUUCUGUUAUCAGAAAUUUGUCCUGCGAACUUCGUGGCAGAUGAAAUCCAUUCGACAGUGAUGGCGUACGCGAUAAGGACCAGGAUACAGAUGUCACUGUUGUAAAAGACAACGAGGAAGGCGACAUCUCUAAAUAUAUCCUGGAUCCUGCAACUGGAGAACUUCUUUUGGAAAGCAAGGAACCGCAGCAGAGUGUCAGCAACAUCCUACGACUCGGGCCCUCGGAAAGUGCCGUCAUCUCUGAACCACCUCCAAGGAAGAGGAAAAAAGAGAUGACGGCGUAUGAGGAGAACUGCUGCGGCUACAAGAAAAGAAGCUCCAGGACGCCAUCACAUUUCAAAGAGAGGAGCAUGAGGCGAAAAUGAAGUUAAUUGCCUCUGAACAUAAAUACAAGGAGGAAUAAUACGCAUUAAGUUUGGAAGCGGUAAAAAAAUCUAAUGAAGAGUCUUCAUUGCAGAGUGAGCUUUUGCGAUUGCAAUUGCAAAAACUGGAGAAUUCUUCAUAAGGAUUCAGGUUUUUGUCUUUGUCGUCGGAAAAGUGCAAUUAUCUAGUAAAUUGUCUUGAUUAGAUCUGCUUACUUAUUUAACGUAAUGUUUUGACUAAAUUCAUAUUCGGCAAUUUUGGUUGACUUUAUUUGAACUUUCAUGUACUUCUCUUUGAAAUUAUUACUGUCGAACCUCCAUCAGUUAGUUUUAGCUAUCUGUAGGCCAAAUAUUUUUUGUCCUUUCCACCGUUGAUAUUGCAUAAAUCUUUCCAGUCACGUGUAAAUCCAGUAGCUGUCAAGUUCUCACGCAACUCUUUCCACUUUCUUACCAUUUCAAUUCGUCUUGGCUUUGUGAAAUACUUACCUUGUUCUCCAAGAUGUUCAUAUUGUGCGAAUUCAAGAAUCCGUUGUUAAUUUGCUGAAGU